Molecule: ribosomal RNA, 817 nt
Filed under: Flavobacteriaceae bacterium MOLA 448
Lineage: Bacteria; Pseudomonadati; Bacteroidota; Flavobacteriia; Flavobacteriales; Flavobacteriaceae
Description: bacterial SSU rRNA
Rfam family: Bacterial small subunit ribosomal RNA
Source: RNAcentral
AGCUUGCUUUUCCGCUGACGAGUGGCGCACGGGUGCGUAACGCGUAUACAAUCUGCCUCUUACUGGGGGAUAGCCUUUGGAAACGAAGAAUAAUACCCCAUGGUAUCCAGGUUUCGCAUGGAAUCUGGAUUAAAGUUUCGACGGUAAGAGAUGAGUAUGCGUUCUAUUAGCUAGAUGGUGUGGUAACGGCACACCAUGGCAACGAUAGAUAGGGGCCCUGAGAGGGGGAUCCCCCACACUGGUACUGAGACACGGACCAGACUCCUACGGGAGGCAGCAGUGAGGAAUAUUGGACAAUGGGCGGAAGCCUGAUCCAGCCAUGCCGCGUGCAGGAAGACUGCCCUAUGGGUUGUAAACUGCUUUUGUACGGGAAGAAACCCACCUACGUGUAGGUGGCUGACGGUACCGUAAGAAUAAGCAUCGGCUAACUCCGUGCCAGCAGCCGCGGUAAUACGGAGGAUGCAAGCGUUAUCCGGAAUCAUUGGGUUUAAAGGGUCCGUAGGUGGAUCGGUCAGUCAGAGGUGAAAUCCUGCAGCUCAACUGUAGAACUGCCUUUGAUACUGCCGGUCUUGAAUUAUCGUGAAGUGGUUAGAAUAUGUAGUGUAGCGGUGAAAUGCAUAGAUAUUACAUAGAAUACCGAUUGCGAAGGCAGAUCACUAACGAUACAUUGACACUGAUGGACGAAAGCGUGGGGAGCGAACGGGAUUAGAUACCCCGGUAGUCCACGCCGUAAACGAUGGUCACUAGCUGUUCGGACUUCGGUCUGAGUGGCUAAGCGAAAGUGAUAAGUGACCCACCUGGGGAGUACGUUCGCAAG